This 560-nucleotide ribosomal RNA is filed under the name uncultured bacterium. RNAcentral describes it as "bacterial SSU rRNA". It matches the Rfam family "Bacterial small subunit ribosomal RNA", at positions 338 to 917 of the family's 1533-position model. The record is from RNAcentral.
CCUACGGGAGGCAGCAGUGGGGAAUAUUGGACAAUGGGGGCAACCCUGAUCCAGCAAUGCCGCGUGUGUGAUGAAGGCCUUAGGGUUGUAAAGCACUUUCACUGGUGAAGAUGAUGACGGUAACCAGAGAAGAAGCCCCGGCUAACUUCGUGCCAGCAGCCGCGGUAAUAGGAAGGGGGCGAGCGUUGUUCGGAAUUACUGGGCGUAAAGGGAGCGCAGGCGGUUCAUUAAGUUAGGCGUGAAAGCCCCGGGCUCAACCUGGGAACUGCGCUUAAUACUGAUGAACUAGAAAACAGGAGAGGGUAGUGGAAUUUCCAGUGUAGAGGUGAAAUUCGUAGAUAUUGGAAAGAACACCGGUGGCGAAAGCGGCUACCUGGCCUGAUCUUGACGCUGAGGCUCGAAAGCGUGGGGAGCAAACAGGAUUAGAUACCCUGGUAGUCCACGCCGUAAACGAUGACAGCUAGAUGUCGGGGGGUCGCCCCUCGGUGUCGCCGCUAACGCAUUAAGCUGUCCGCCUGGGAAGUACGGUCGCAAGAUUAAAACUCAAAGGAAUUGACGGA